RNAcentral lists this ribosomal RNA (253 nucleotides) under uncultured bacterium. RNAcentral's name for it is "partial 16S ribosomal RNA". It matches the Rfam family "Archaeal small subunit ribosomal RNA", at positions 474 to 727 of the family's 1478-position model. The record is from RNAcentral.
UACCAGCACCCCGAGUGGUCGGGACGAUUAUUGGGCCUAAAGCAUCCGUAGCCGGCCUUACAAGUCCUCCGUUAAAUCCAGCUGCUUAACAGAUGGGCUGCGGAGGAUACUAUAAGACUAGGAGGCAGGAGAGGCAAGCGGUACUCAGUGGGUAGGGGUAAAAUCCGUUGAUCCAUUGAAGACCACCAGUGGCGAAGGCGGCUUGCCAGAAUGCGCUCGACGGUGAGGGAUGAAAGCUGGGGGGGCAAACCGG